This is a long non-coding RNA of Apus apus (common swift), 2360 nucleotides long. RefSeq lists it as uncharacterized. The transcript has 6 exons. The record is from RefSeq and is a predicted model, not a curated record. NCBI's taxonomy places the organism in Eukaryota, Metazoa, Chordata, Aves, Apodiformes, Apodidae.
GGUCAGGUGCCAAGGGGAUGCUUUGGUUCUAGCAGACAGUGACAAAGCAGUGAUGAGGGACCUGCUGACUGUGGGACUCUUGGAGUUGAUGAACUGUGGAGCUUUCUUUAAAGGAGGAUGGCCUGAGACCUGUGGCCCCUGAAAGCUAAGUUGAGGGAUGGGUGCUGGGGGGGACAAAGUUGGGAAUUGCAGGGAGGGGUUUUAAAGUCAAGAGCUGGGGAGAGGGCUGUCUGGGAACUGUCCCUUUGGGCAGGUAAAGGCAGUGGGUUACUCUUCAGCGUGAUGUCAGCGUGUGCCAGGCAGGGCAGCUCCAGCCUGCGUGUGUCAUGGUGUAGUUUGUGUGGUCUGUUGUCUUUUGUGUCUCAAACCCUCCUUGGGUCCCAGUCUCCUCUUUGUGCUCCAGGAGCACAGCACUCGCCUUGCAGCCCAUCCUUAGGUCUUGAGCAUCAUCUGUGCUCACCAUCGUAGUGCCCGUGGGGCGCUGCUUUUCUUGCCUGAACUCAAAAGCCCCGCUGGGCCUCGCGACUCGGGUGUCUCCUCUUGAUCCUCUUUUUGCGCCGGUGUUGCGGUCGGUGUCGUCAGCCCCGCUCUGGAGGCUUCUCUUUCACAGGGAGAAUCUCUCUUUUCUGGGCAUUCUUCCCUGUGUCCUUGCAUUCUUGGGUCUUGCCAAGGCUUCUCGUGCAUCCGUCUGCUUCAGUUCUGACUGUAGCUUCUUGUCAUGGUUUGCAAUGUUUGACCUUUCUCUGGGGCUGCCUUACAGGCUCCUUACUGCUGAAAUCACGAGUGAAUUGAGUAUAGGAAUAUUGGGACUAAUGUGUUAAUUAAAGGGAUAUCAGUUCAAAUUGCAUGCCUGUUAAAGACUUGUGCAAACUGACCACUGCUUGACCUAAGCGACUUGACUUUGGACUGGACUUGUGACUUGACUUAGCCUGAGUAUCUGCAGUGAUGAGGCCUUAGGCUGCCAUUCUAAUUAAUCUUCAGCUGAACUCCUGUGAUGAGCCUUAGUUAGACCUUGACUCUACCAGCUGUAAUAAUAUGGAAACAAGAUGUGGGCAAGGUAAUUACUCAAGACGAUCUUCUGAACUGCGAAGAUGCAUUGACUGAAAGUUAAGUGGGAACAACUGGACAAAAUCAGAAUGUGGAAGAUUUUUCCAGCUGAGAAACAAGUGGAAGAGAACAAGAUUGGAAGCACCCAGCUUGAGCUGCAGUAAACUGGUUCUGUGGCAGAACUGAGGGUCUGAGCUUCUCUCUCAGGUUGGAGGUGAAGACUGGAUCCAGCUGCACCUAGGCUCUGCCCUGAGAAGAAGCUGAGAAACCAAAGAGGUCCUGUCUGAAGCUCACAACUCAAAAGGAGGGACUUUUGGGACUCCUCACCUGGUGGCAUCUGCAUUGGAGGAGGAGUUUUUUUGUUGCUGAGAGUUUCCUCUUGUGCUUGUGUCACAUCCUUUGUGUUUGUGUGUUGUGUCUCUGUGCUGUUGGGUUGGAGCUGCUCUCUCUGGAGGCUGUAGCAGCUGUGGGGUUGGGAGAAGAACAGCAACGAGAGCCUGUGGUUUGUGUUGCUGUGCUGUCUGUGCCUGUUGGGGUGCAGAUGGAGCAUUUGAAGUGAAGUAGCAGCCCUCAGCAGGGGAGGGUGGUCAUUUUCCUAGUGUUUUUGAGAGGGGGUGGCUGGAGCCACCUGGGAGAGGCUGCUGGAGCCAUAGCCAAGCAGGUUGGGUGCCCAGGUUCUUAAGGCCUGAAUGUGUGGGGCGUAAUGUUAACUUGUUUUUUAGCUUCCCUGUAGGUAGUUAGGAUCUAGAAGAUGUUCCUAAAUGGGAAUCUCUGGAAUUGCAUCCAGCUGAUUGCUUGUUACUGCUUUUUCAGAUGCAGGGAGAGGAGCCACGCAGCAGAGGGUGAUGGAGGAGAGGAGCAGAGCGCGGUGAGGAGCUGGGUCGGUGCGUAUUGAAGAGUCUGGGUGAGUUGUCCCCUGGGUUGUGAGGGAAGGUGUGAGUGGUGCCUCUAUCGACUGGCUCAUGGUUUGGGUUUGUUUUGUAGGUGCAAAGCACCGAGGGAAGCGGGAGAUCUGCACUGGAGGUGACUCGAGCAAGGCAGCACAGAGGGCUGGACGUGGCAACCCAUAACCAUCAGAGGCUGGACAGGUGAGCCACGAAGUUUUGCAGCCUUGGAGCAGUGGAGCAGCAUGCCAACGGGCCAUCUGUGGAGAUGACACAGGCAUCAGCCAGAUGCCGCAAGCAAGGAUGGCCUCAGCAUCCGAUUCUGGAACCAGAAGAUUGCUACGAGGAGCCUGGCGAUGGCAGGAACAUCCCGGCGAGGAUGGCUUGUCGAGGAGGAUGGCUGCAGAGCCCUGGCCAUCUGAAAGCUAA